Molecule: transfer RNA, 83 nt
Filed under: Halichondria sp. HK-2019
Lineage: Eukaryota; Metazoa; Porifera; Demospongiae; Suberitida; Halichondriidae
Also listed under: 1 other name
Description: tRNA-Ser
Rfam family: tRNA
About the family: Transfer RNA (tRNA) molecules are approximately 80 nucleotides in length. Their secondary structure includes four short double-helical elements and three loops (D, anti-codon, and T loops).
Source: RNAcentral
GGAAGGGUGACAGAGUGGUUUAAUGUGUUUGUCUUGAAAACAAUUGCUAUUGUAGCCCAUGGGUUCGAAUCCCAUUCCUUCCU